UACUAGAGUAGCACUCGCAUAUCAAUAAGCGGAGGAAAAGAAACUAACAAGGAUUCCCUUAGUAACGGCGAGUGAAGCGGGAAGAGCUCAAAUUUGAAAUCUUCAAGGUUCUACCUUGACGAAUUGUAGUUUAUAGAAGUGUUUUCUGUUAGUAGAGUUGGCUAAAAGUUCUUUGGAAUAGGACAUCAUAGAGGGUGAGAAUCCCGUAUUUGAUCAUUCUUUCUAGCUUUGUGAUACACUUUCAACGAGUCGGAUUGUUUGGGAAUGCAGUCCAAAAUGGGUGGUAAAUUUCAUCUAAAGCUAAAUAUUGGCGAGAGACCGAUAGCGAACAAGUACCGUGAGGGAAAGAUGAAAAGAACUUUGAAAAGAGAGUUAAACAGUACGUGAAAUUGUCAAAAGGGAAGCGUUUGACACCAGUGUUGUUUUUCCGAAAAUCAAUUACGAAUGUUUUAUUUUUGAGGAGUUAUGACUUCAUCGGCUUGCUUCUCUCUUUAUGGAACUUUCUUAAUGCACUUUUCGGUUAACAAGUCAACAUCAAUUUCUUUUGUUGUAAAAGAGUAUGAGGAAGGUGGCUUUCUUUUCGGAGAAAGUGUUUAUAGCCUUGUACCUCUGCUAGUCGGAGAGAUUGAGGUCUGCAGCGUAGAUCCUUCGGGGUUAGAUACAUUUGUGCUAAGUUAUAGCUUUUCAUAGACAACUUGUUGACUAUAUUUAGUCUUGUAGCUUACUCGCUUAUGCUAUUUUACCUACGCUUAGGAUGUUGAUAGUCACAGCGUGUAC
This 777-nucleotide ribosomal RNA is filed under the name uncultured Neocallimastigales. RNAcentral describes it as "partial large subunit ribosomal RNA". It matches the Rfam family "Eukaryotic large subunit ribosomal RNA", at positions 20 to 644 of the family's 3401-position model. Lineage: Eukaryota; Fungi; Neocallimastigomycota; Neocallimastigomycetes; Neocallimastigales. The record is from RNAcentral.